GAGAGUGAAGGCAGGUGGUUAGGGGUAUUAGCUGUUAACUAAUGUUUCAUGGGGUUAAAUCCCAUCAAUCUAG
This 73-nucleotide transfer RNA is filed under the name Myotis albescens. RNAcentral describes it as "tRNA-Asn". Lineage: Eukaryota; Metazoa; Chordata; Mammalia; Chiroptera; Vespertilionidae. The record is from RNAcentral.